GUCCUGGUGUGGAUCUGCUGGGGGUCGAUGUUCUGAUCCAUGUUCCUGCUGCUAGAUGCUGGUGUCCUGGUGCAGGAUCUCCCGGUUCUGUUCUGGCCGUGAAGAGCAGGAAGAUCUGCAGCCCCUGGAGACAGCACAGAGGGAGGCAGUCGGGUUCUGUUCUGGCUCUGAAAGGUUCUGUUCUGGCCGUGAAGAGCAGGAAGAUCUGCAGCCCGUGGAGACAGCACAGAGGAAGGCAGUCAGCUGUGGAAGCAACCCAAAGUUCUCAGAACCUUCAGAUGGAUGCCUGUUGCUCACGUCAUACCUGUGUGGUGGUGCAGAGGCAGAAGAGGAUGCUGAAGACCAGGUGGAGGGUUCCUGUGGUCACCAGGACAAAGUAGCCCAGGGUCCAGGACAUUCCCAGCAGCACGGCCAGAGAGAAGCUGACCAGAACCUUCCGGGUCAGGGAGGAGCGCUUUGUGCUGGCGAGUCAACAGAAACCAAGAGUGCGUCCUGCAGGGGGCAGUAAUGACUGACCUGGUGAGCCGGGGAUCCACCCUGCAGGUGGUCAGAGAGGGAACCCACCUGAUGGGAACUGGAUGUGAACCAGAGCGUCGAUGAGGCCGCUGUCCUCGGUGACCUUUGACACGUUGGUGUUCAGCUGAAUCCUGUUUGAUACAAAACUGCCAGACAGCCCUGAACACAGCCAGAAGCUUCAGUGGGUUUAAAGUCACCAGGUCUGCUCAAAGAUCCUUCAGAGAAGCGCCACGCUUUGACCGGUGGCAUGCAGUGACCUACUGACCUGCGAGGGCGGUGAACUGGACUCCCUGAGUGUCUGAA
Fundulus heteroclitus (mummichog) is the source of this 819-nucleotide long non-coding RNA. RefSeq lists it as uncharacterized. NCBI's taxonomy places the organism in Eukaryota, Metazoa, Chordata, Actinopteri, Cyprinodontiformes, Fundulidae. The record is from RefSeq and is a predicted model, not a curated record. The transcript is spliced from 7 exons.